Prunus dulcis (almond) is the source of this 822-nucleotide long non-coding RNA. RefSeq lists it as uncharacterized. The record is from RefSeq and is a predicted model, not a curated record. The transcript is spliced from 3 exons. NCBI's taxonomy places the organism in Eukaryota, Viridiplantae, Streptophyta, Magnoliopsida, Rosales, Rosaceae.
CUCUUUCUUUCACUCUUCUCAUUCUUUCACCCAUUUUUCCUCUCCCAGAGCCUCAGAGAGAGAGAGAGAGAGAGAGAGAGAGAGACCGGGAAAGAUGACUCGGGGAAAGCAGAAGAUUGAAGCGCAAAAACGAAAUGCGGAGAAGAAUCAGAAGCAAAAAGGGUCUCAAUUUGAGGCCAGAGCCGUUGCUCUCAAAAUCACUUGUCCUAUUUGCAAGGUGCAACUUGCAAAUCCAAAGCAGCUUGGUGAUCACUAUGCUUCCAAACAUCCCAGAGAAAAGCCUCCAGCUGAAUCAGAAUGACCCCUUUCUCAUGUGGAAUACAGUGUGACAAUAAAAAACGAACCUACAAUGAGAAAGAAUUAGAGGGAUCAGAUAUGCUGAGAUUACUUGCAAAAUAAUAAGGCUGGACGAGAUCUUUGAAACCGUUGAGAACCAGCUACUCACUGGUCUAGCUGAUAUUCAUCUUCCACAAGAGGAGAAGAGGCGUUUUGAAAUUUAUGUUAUUGUGAAAGCUGACCAGGUUCUACUGAUAGGAUUUCAGAAUUGCAUAAACAGUCUGAUCGGCCUUGCUACUCUUGUUUGUUUUGCGUUAUAAACUCAAAUAUGUCACAAUCCUUUAUAUAUGGAUCAUUGAUUAACAAAAGUCCAGCAUGAGCAAGUGCUAGAAGAGGAGAUCAAAAGUAUCAAAGGGACAGAAAAGCACCAGAAUUAGAUAGCUACAUCGUUUGAUUCUGUAUAAAGCUUGGAAUAUUGUGGUUAAGGAUUUCCACAGCUAUCAAAACCUUCAAUACUAAAUGCAUUGUUCACCCGUUUUGAUUUAA